AGAGAUGCCUUUUGAAGAAAUCUGUCUCAGCAGUGUCAGUCACCCCUGUGUACCCAACAAAGAAAGGUCUUGGAGUGCAAGGAACCUUGAAAUGAGUGGAUCAUUGAAGUGGUCUUCACUUCAGCCUCUACAAAUGCACCAUGUUGCUUUGAUGAAGGAUGCUACAUGUUGACCUGAUUUGCCUCACAGACUGCUUGUGCUUUUCAAGGACUCUGAAAGCGGGGCUCCUAAUCUGUCACAUGGGAU
Molecule: long non-coding RNA, 246 nt
Organism: Neopelma chrysocephalum (saffron-crested tyrant-manakin)
Lineage: Eukaryota; Metazoa; Chordata; Aves; Passeriformes; Pipridae
Exons: 3
Source: RefSeq, a predicted model, not a curated record